GUGCCAGCCGCCGCGGUAAGACGAAGGUGGCAAGCGUUGCUCGGAAUCACUGGGCAUAAAGCGCGCGUAGGUGGCUCGAUAAGUCGAUGGUGAAAUCCCAUGGCUCAACCAUGGAACUGCCACCGAAACUGUCGGGCUUGAGGACGGUAGGGGAGAGUGGAACUCCUGGUGUAGCGGUGAAAUGCGUAGAUAUCAGGAGGAACGCCGGUGGCGAAAGCGACUCUCUGGGCCGCUCCUGACACUGAUGUGCGAAAGCUAGGGGAGCAAACAGGAUUAGAUACCCUCGUAGUCC
This 292-nucleotide ribosomal RNA is filed under the name uncultured bacterium. RNAcentral describes it as "partial 16S ribosomal RNA". It matches the Rfam family "Bacterial small subunit ribosomal RNA", at positions 505 to 796 of the family's 1533-position model. The record is from RNAcentral.